Molecule: ribosomal RNA, 300 nt
Filed under: uncultured Lactobacillus sp.
Lineage: Bacteria; Bacillati; Bacillota; Bacilli; Lactobacillales; Lactobacillaceae
Description: bacterial SSU rRNA
Rfam family: Bacterial small subunit ribosomal RNA
Source: RNAcentral
GAAAACGACGUGCGAGGAGCGGCGGUAAUAGGGAGGGUGGAAGCGUUAAUCGGAAUUACUGGGCGUAAAGCGGGCGCAGGCGGCUUAUUAAGUCAGAUGUGAAAUCCCUAGGCUCAACCUAGGAACUGCAUUUGAAACUAAUAAACUAGAGUAUCGUAGAGGGAGGUAGAAUUCCAGGUGUAGCGGUGAAAUGCGUAGAUAUCUGGAGGAAUACCAGUGGCGAAGGCGACCUCCUGGACGAAAACUGACGCUCAAGCACGAAAGCAUGGGGAGCAAACAGGAUUAGAUACCCCAGUAGUC